AUCGAUGUCGCCAUCGUUGUCGGUCAUUUCCGCAGCGGCAUGCAUGACAUCGUCCCGUUAUGGUCCGAGAAGAUCUUGGUCGCGAUGGCANCCGACAAGGCGACGUUGACGUGGGACGAUCUGCGCACCGAACAUAUCCUGCUCGGCCGCGAUCCCGGUCCCGAGCUCAGGGACCAUUUGUUGUCCAGACUCAACGCAUCCGGCGAUCUGCCGGCCAUUCGUCACUCCCAUAUCGGUCGCGAUUUCGUGCUGNNNUCGAUAUCGAAUCCGACGUCACCCUGCUGUACGAGGCUGACACCGGAGCGCAGCACCCCGG
RNAcentral lists this unclassified non-coding RNA (316 nucleotides) under Hevea brasiliensis (rubber tree). Lineage: Eukaryota; Viridiplantae; Streptophyta; Magnoliopsida; Malpighiales; Euphorbiaceae. The record is from RNAcentral.